GAUGAAGAACGUAGCGAAAUGCGAUAAGUAAUGUGAAUUGCAGAAUUCAGUGAAUCAUCGAAUCUUUGAACGCACCUUGCGCUCCUUGGUAUUCCAAAGAGCAUGCCUGUUUGAGUAUCAUUAAAUUAUCAACUGUACCAAUUUGGUUGCAGAUUGGAUGUGGGAGAUUUUGCAGGCUUUUGAUUUCUCUUUGAGAAAACGGUCAGCUCUCCUGAAAUAUAUUAGCAGUGCCUUUGUUGGUUCAUUAGGUGUGAUAAUUUAUCUACAUCUUCACAUGGUACCUUCAUUUGUGUAAAGGUCAUAUUGCUUCUAAUUGUCUUUGGACAUAAAAAAAAAAAAAACAUAUAAUUGUAUGGAAAACUUGAUCUCAAAUCAGGCAGGACUACCCGCUGAACUUAAGCAUAUCAAUAAGCGGAGG
Molecule: unclassified non-coding RNA, 418 nt
Filed under: soil metagenome
Description: partial contains 5.8S ribosomal RNA, internal transcribed spacer 2, and large subunit ribosomal RNA
Rfam family: 5.8S ribosomal RNA (bases 1-120)
Source: RNAcentral